UCCGGUUUGUCACCGGCAGUCUCAUUAGAGUGCCCUUGCGUAGCAACUAAUGAUAAGGGUUGCGCUCGUUGCGGGACUUAACCCAACAUCUCACGACACGAGCUGACGACAGCCAUGCAGCACCUGUGUUCCCGUUCCCUUGCGGGCACAGCCUAAUCUCUUAAGCCUUCGGGACAUGUCAAGGGUAGGUAAGGUUUUUCGCGUUGCAUCGAAUUAAUCCACAUAAUCCACCGCUUGUGCGGGUCCCCGUCAAUUCCUUUGAGUUUUAAUCUUGCGACCGUACUCCCCAGGCGGUCAACUUCACGCGUUAGCUGCGUUACCAAAAGAUUGCUCUCCCGACAACUAGUUGACAUCGUUUAGGGCAUGGACUAC
This 372-nucleotide unclassified non-coding RNA is filed under the name uncultured Gammaproteobacteria bacterium. RNAcentral describes it as "contains 16S-23S intergenic spacer region". Lineage: Bacteria; Pseudomonadati; Pseudomonadota; Gammaproteobacteria. The record is from RNAcentral.